UCCUUGGUGGUCCAGUGGUUAGGACUUCGUGCUCACACUGCUGGGGCCCCAGGUUUGAUCCCUGGUUGGGGAA
This is a non-coding RNA of Mesoplodon densirostris (Blainville's beaked whale), 73 nucleotides long. The record is from the annotation of a RefSeq genome assembly. Lineage: Eukaryota; Metazoa; Chordata; Mammalia; Artiodactyla; Ziphiidae.